Long non-coding RNA from Quercus robur (English oak), 383 nucleotides. RefSeq lists it as uncharacterized. NCBI's taxonomy places the organism in Eukaryota, Viridiplantae, Streptophyta, Magnoliopsida, Fagales, Fagaceae. The transcript has 4 exons. The record is from RefSeq and is a predicted model, not a curated record.
AGAGACUAGCUUUGGAACUGAUAAACCUUCUAUUGGAAUUUCAAAAAGUGGAGGGAAUUAAUAAAUCUCAUAAUGAGUAUUGGGCGAUCUCAAUCUAACCUUCUAUUGGAAUUUCAAAAAGUGGAGGGAAUUAAUAAAUCUCAUAAUGAGUAUUGGGCGAUCUCAAUCUCAUGAUUUAAGUAUAGCACUAUUGCAAGAUGGAUUGGGUCACAUCACAAAUGGUUUCAGAAAUUUAUCCAAAAAAUUGAAUGAUGCUGUCCAAUGGUGUGCACAAUGCUAUACAAUAUAUACAAUGUAGCAGCAGAUAAAGUUGAUUGUGAUAGUACAAGGCCACAAGCUGAAGAUGUCUACUUGGCAAAGAAUAAAAGGUUGAAGGAAAGGGA